CGAAUCGAUGGGAGCUUGCUCCCUGAGAUUAGCGGCGGACGGGUGAGUAACACGUGGGCAACCUGCCUAUAAGACUGGGAUAACUUCGGGAAACCGGAGCUAAUACCGGAUACGUUCUUUUCUCGCAUGAGAGAAGAUGGAAAGACGGUUUACGCUGUCACUUAUAGAUGGGCCCGCGGCGCAUUAGCUAGUUGGUGAGGUAAUGGCUCACCAAGGCGACGAUGCGUAGCCGACCUGAGAGGGUGAUCGGCCACACUGGGACUGAGACACGGCCCAGACUCCUACGGGAGGCAGCAGUAGGGAAUCUUCCGCAAUGGACGAAAGUCUGACGGAGCAACGCCGCGUGAACGAAGAAGGCCUUCGGGUCGUAAAGUUCUGUUGUUAGGGAAGAACAAGUACCAGAGUAACUGCUGGUACCUUGACGGUACCUAACCAGAAAGCCACGGCUAACUACGUGCCAGCAGCCGCGGUAAUACGUAGGUGGCAAGCGUUGUCCGGAAUUAUUGGGCGUAAAGCGCGCGCAGGUGGUUCCUUAAGUCUGAUGUGAAAGCCCACGGCUCAACCGUGGAGGGUCAUUGGAAACUGGGGAACUUGAGUGCAGAAGAGGAAAGUGGAAUUCCAAGUGUAGCGGUGAAAUGCGUAGAGAUUUGGAGGAACACCAGUGGCGAAGGCGACUUUCUGGUCUGUAACUGACACUGAGGCGCGA
This 706-nucleotide ribosomal RNA is filed under the name Bacillus sp. FJAT-4512. RNAcentral's name for it is "bacterial SSU rRNA". It matches the Rfam family "Bacterial small subunit ribosomal RNA", at positions 67 to 756 of the family's 1533-position model. Lineage: Bacteria; Bacillati; Bacillota; Bacilli; Caryophanales; Bacillaceae. The record is from RNAcentral.